AAGAAAGCACCGGCUAACUCCGUGCCCAGCAGCCCGCGGUAAUACGGAGGGUGCAAGCGUUAAUCGGAAUUACUGGGCGUAAAGCGCGCGUAGGCGGCUUGAUAAGCCGGUUGUGAAAGCCCCGGGCUCAACCUGGGAACGGCAUCCGGAACUGUCAGGCUAGAGUGCAGGAGAGGAAGGUAGAAUUCCCGGUGUAGCGGUGAAAUGCGUAGAGAUCGGGAGGAAUACCAGUGGCGAAGGCGGCCUUCUGGACUGACACUGACGCUGAGGUGCGAAAGCGUGGGUAGCAAACAGGAUUAGAUACCCUGGUAGUCCACGCCGUAAACGAUGUCGACUAGCCGUUGGGGUCCUCGAGACCUUUGUGGCGCAGUUAACGCGAUAAGUCGACCGCCUGGGGAGUACGGCCGCAAGGUUAAAACUCAAAUGAAUUGACGGGGGCCCGCACAAGCGGUGGAGCAUGUGGUUUAAUUCGAUGCAACGCGAAGAACCUUACCUACUCUUGACAUCGAGCGAACUUUCCAGAGAUGGAUUGGUGCCUUCGGGAACGCUCAGACAGGUGCUGCAUGGCCGUCGUCAGCUCGUGUUGUGAAAUGUUGGGUUAAGUCCCGUAACGAGCGCAACCCUUGUCCCUAUUUGCCAGCGAUUCGGUCGGGAACUCUAGGGAGACUGCCGGUGACAAACCGGAGGAAGGUGGGGACGACGUCAGGUCAUCAUGGCCCUUACGAGUAGGGCUACACACGUGCUACAAUGGCCGGUACAAUGGGCUGCAAUCCCGCGAGGGGGAGCCAAUCUCAUAAAGCCGGUCUCAGUCCGGAUCGGAGUCUGCAACUCGACUCCGUGAAGUCGGAAUCGCUAGUAAUCGUGCAUCAGAAUGGCACGGUGAAUACGUUCCCGGGCCUUGUACACACCGCCCGUCACACCAUGGGAGUGGACUGCACCAGAAGUGGUUAGCCUAACUUCGGAGGGCGAUCACCACGG
This 978-nucleotide ribosomal RNA is filed under the name Halomonas sp. JSM 114028. RNAcentral describes it as "bacterial SSU rRNA". It matches the Rfam family "Bacterial small subunit ribosomal RNA", at positions 484 to 1462 of the family's 1533-position model. Lineage: Bacteria; Pseudomonadati; Pseudomonadota; Gammaproteobacteria; Oceanospirillales; Halomonadaceae. The record is from RNAcentral.